CCUACGGGAGGCGGCAGUGGGGAAUAUUGGACAAUGGGCGAAAGCCUGAUCCAGCAAUGCCGCGUGAGUGAUGAAGGCCUUAGGGUUGUAAAGCUCUUUUACCAGGGAUGAUAAUGACAGUACCUGGAGAAUAAGCUCCGGCUAACUCCGUGCCAGCAGCCGCGGUAAUACGGAGGGAGCUAGCGUUGUUCGGAAUUACUGGGCGUAAAGCGUACGUAGGCGGUUAUUCAAGUCAGAGGUGAAAGCCCGGGGCUCAACCCCGGAACUGCCUUUGAAACUAGAUAGCUAGAAUCUUGGAGAGGUUAGUGGAAUUCCGAGUGUAGAGGUGAAAUUCGUAGAUAUUCGGAAGAGCACCAGUGGCGAAGGCGACUAACUGGACAAGUAUUGACGCUGAGGUACGAAAGCGUGGGGAGCAAACAGGAUUAGAUACCCUGGUAGUCCACGCCGUAAACGAUGAUAACUAGUUGUUCGGGCACUUGGUGCCUGAGUGACGCAGCUAACGCAUUAAGUUAUCCGCCUGGGGAGUACGGUCGCAAGAUUAAAACUCAAAUGAAUUGACGG
RNAcentral lists this ribosomal RNA (561 nucleotides) under uncultured bacterium. Its description in RNAcentral is "bacterial SSU rRNA". It matches the Rfam family "Bacterial small subunit ribosomal RNA", at positions 338 to 916 of the family's 1533-position model. The record is from RNAcentral.